This 268-nucleotide unclassified non-coding RNA is filed under the name uncultured fungus. RNAcentral's name for it is "partial contains 5.8S ribosomal RNA, internal transcribed spacer 2, and large subunit ribosomal RNA". The record is from RNAcentral. Lineage: Eukaryota; Fungi.
AAGGAUCAUUACCACACCUAAAAAACUUUCCACGUGAACUGUCAUUAUUUGUUGUGCGCUCUCUGCGGUGUCGGUGGCGUCUGUUGGCUGUAUUUGAUACUGCUGGCGGGUGCGAGCCGGAUGCAGAGGCUGAACGAAGGUCGAGUUGCUUUGCUCUCGGCUGACUUAUUUUUCAAACCCAAUACCCAACUUACUGAUUAUACUGUGAGAACGAAAGUUCUUGCUUUUAACUAGAUAACAACUUUCAGCAGUGGAUGUCUAGGCUCGC